RNAcentral lists this ribosomal RNA (1528 nucleotides) under human gut metagenome. Its description in RNAcentral is "bacterial LSU rRNA". It matches the Rfam family "Bacterial large subunit ribosomal RNA", at positions 828 to 2443 of the family's 2925-position model. The record is from RNAcentral.
UCCAAUCGAACCCGGAGAUAGCUGGUUCUCUCCGAAAUAGCUUUAGGGCUAGCCUCGUAUUAGAUUACUGGAGGUAAAGCACUGAAUGGGCUAGGGGCCGAGAGGUUACUGAACCCUAUCAAACUCAGAAUGCCAGAUAAUUGAUGUAUGGGAGUCAGACAGUGUGAGAUAAGUUUCAUUGUCAAAAGGGAAACAGCCCAGACCCACAGCUAAGGUCCCAAAGUACGGUUAAGUGGAAAAGGAUGUGGGGUUGCAUAGACAACCAGGAUGUUGGCUUAGAAGCAGCCACUCAUUAAAAGAGUGCGUAAUAGCUCACUGGUCGAGUGACCCUGCGCCGAAAAUUUAACGGGGCUAAAUCGUACACCGAAGCUUGGGAUGCAGCAAUGCAUGGUAGGAGAGCGUCGUAUAAGGGGUGAAGUCAGAGCGUAAGCGCUGGUGGACUUUAUACGAGUGAGAAUGCCGGAAUGAGUAGCGAGAAAUAUGUGAGAAUCAUAUUGGCCGAAAGUCUAAGGUUUUUGGAGGAAGGUUCGUCCGCUCCAAGUAAGCCGGGAGCUAAGGUGAGGCCGAAAGGCGUAGCCGAUGCACAUACGGUAGAUAUUCCGUAGCCGCCAAAAGAUUUAAGUAAGAGGACACCUUGAAAGGACUUGACCCGGGCGAUGGUUGCCCCGGGCGAAAGGGACCGAAAUUUAGUAGGGAAGCAAGUUUGGACGAGGGCGAGAAAAGUCUUAUGUAUAUCUUCGGCGCCCGUACCGCAAACCGACACAGGUAGAUAGGAAGAGAAUUCUAAGGCCAACGGGAGAAGGGUAGUUAAGGAACUCGGCAAAUUGGUCCCGUAACUUAGGGAAAAGGGACGCCAGGGAAACCUGGCCGCAGAGAAUAGGCCCAGGCGACUGUUUAGCAAAAACACAGGUCUCUGCCAAAUCGAAAGAUGAAGUAUAGGGGCUGACACCUGCCCGGUGCUGGAAGGUUAAGAGGAGAUGUGCAAGCAUUGAAUUGAAGCCCCAGUAAACGGCGGCCGUAACUAUAACGGUCCUAAGGUAGCGAAAUUCCUUGUCGGGUAAGUUCCGACCCGCACGAAUGGUGUAAUGAUCUGGGCACUGUCUCAAUUACCCGCCCGGCGAAAUUGUAGUACCGGUGAAGAUGCCGGUUACCCGCGACAAGACGGAAAGACCCCAUGGAGCUUUACUGUAGCUUAAUAUUGGGUUUCGAUAAUUUAUGUAUAGGAUAGGCGGGAGACUAGGAAACCGUGGCGCCAGCCACAGCGGAGUCGACGUUGGAAUACCGCUCUUAAGUUAUUGGAAUUCUAACCUGCGGCCAUGAAUCUGGCCGGGGGACAUUGUUAGGUGGGCAGUUUGACUGGGGCGGUCGCCUCCAAAAAGGUAACGGAGGCGCUCAAAGGUUGGCUCAGCAUGGUUGGAAACCAUGCUUUAGAGUGUAAACGCGUAAGCCAGCCUAACUGCGAGGAUGACGGUCCGAGCAGUAACGAAAGUUGGAGUUAGUGAUCCGGCGGUAUGUGAAUGGAAAUGCC